This 72-nucleotide transfer RNA is filed under the name Camelus bactrianus (Bactrian camel). It matches the Rfam family "tRNA". Rfam says of the family: Transfer RNA (tRNA) molecules are approximately 80 nucleotides in length. Their secondary structure includes four short double-helical elements and three loops (D, anti-codon, and T loops). Lineage: Eukaryota; Metazoa; Chordata; Mammalia; Artiodactyla; Camelidae. RNAcentral also lists the same sequence under 2 other names. The record is from Rfam by way of RNAcentral.
AGGGGAAUGGCUCAGUGGUGGAGCACAUGCUUAGCAUGCAUGAUGUCCUGGGUUCAAGCCCCAGUACCACCA